AGAGUUUGAUCCUGGCUCAGGAUGAACGCUAGCGGCAGGCCUAAUACAUGCAAGUCGAGGGGUAAGAGUCAGCUUGCUGACUACACGACCGGCGCACGGGUGCGUAACGCGUAUGCAACCUACCUUUAACAGAGGAAUAGCCCCGAGAAAUCGGGAUUAAUACCACAUAACAUUAUGAUAUGGCAUCAUAUUAUAAUUAAAACUCCGGUGGUUAAAGAUGGGCAUGCGUGACAUUAGCUAGUUGGUGAGGUAACUGCUCACCAAGGCUACGAUGUCUAGGGGUUCUGAGAGGAUGAUCCCCCACACUGGUACUGAGACACGGACCAGACUCCUACGGGAGGCAGCAGUAAGGAAUAUUGCGCAAUGGAGGCAACUCUGACGCAGCCAUGCCGCGUGCAGGAUUGAAGGCCUGAUGGGUCGUAAACUGCU
This 429-nucleotide ribosomal RNA is filed under the name uncultured marine bacterium. RNAcentral describes it as "bacterial SSU rRNA". It matches the Rfam family "Bacterial small subunit ribosomal RNA", at positions 8 to 434 of the family's 1533-position model. The record is from RNAcentral.